CCUACGGGUGGCAGCAGUAGGGAAUCUUUCACAAUGGGCGAAAGCCUGAUGGAGCAACGCCGCGUGCAGGAUGAAGGCCUUCGGGUUGUUAACUUCUUUUAUAAGCGAGAAAUAUGAUGGUAACUUAUGAAUAAGGAUCGGCUACCUACGUGCCAGCAGCCGCGGUCAUACGUAGGAUCCGAGCAUUAUCCGGAGUGACUGGGUGUAAAGAGUUGCGUAGGUGGCAUAAUAAGUAGCUAGUGAAAUCUGGUGGCUCAACCAAUCAGACUGUUGGCUAAACUGUUAAGCUCGAGUCCGUUAGGGGUAAGUGGAAUUUCUAGUGUAGGAGUGAAAUCCGUAGAUAUUAGAAGGAACACCAAUAGCGAAGGCAGGUUGCUGGGACGGGUCUGACACUGAGGCACGAAAGCGUAGGGAGCAAACGGGAUUAGAUACCCGAGUAGUC
RNAcentral lists this ribosomal RNA (442 nucleotides) under uncultured bacterium. RNAcentral's name for it is "partial 16S ribosomal RNA". It matches the Rfam family "Bacterial small subunit ribosomal RNA", at positions 338 to 795 of the family's 1533-position model. The record is from RNAcentral.